AGAGUUUGAUCCUGGCUCNNAUUGAACGCUGGCGGCAUGCCUUACACAUGCAAGUCGAACGGUAGAGGGGCAACCCUUGAGAGUGGCGAACGGGUGAGUAAUAUAUCGGAACGUGCCCAGUCGUGGGGGAUAACGCAGCGAAAGCUGCGCUAAUACCGCAUACGAUCUAAGGAUGAAAGCGGGGGAUCGCAAGACCUCGCGCGAUUGGAGCGGCCGAUAUCAGAUUAGGUAGUUGGUGGGGUAAAAGCCCACCAAGCCGACGAUCUGUAGCUGGUCUGAGAGGACGACCAGCCACACUGGGACUGAGACACGGCCCAGACUCCUACGGGAGGCAGCAGUGGGGAAUUUUGGACAAUGGGCGCAAGCCUGAUCCAGCAAUGCCGCGUGCAGGACGAAGGCCUUCGGGUUGUAAACUGCUUUUGUACGGAGCGAAACGGUCUGGGUUAAUACCCUGGGCUAAUGACGGUACCGUAAGAAUAAGCACCGGCUAACUACGUGCCAGCCGCCGCGGUAAUUC
Molecule: ribosomal RNA, 517 nt
Filed under: uncultured soil bacterium
Lineage: Bacteria
Description: bacterial SSU rRNA
Rfam family: Bacterial small subunit ribosomal RNA
Source: RNAcentral